This 231-nucleotide unclassified non-coding RNA is filed under the name plant metagenome. Its description in RNAcentral is "partial contains small subunit ribosomal RNA, internal transcribed spacer 1, and 5.8S ribosomal RNA". The record is from RNAcentral.
UUUCCGUAGGUGAACCUGCGGAAGGAUCAUUAAUGAAUUUCUCAAUUUGAGAUUAUUCCUAUUGUGAUUUUAGUGGAAACAAAAUUGAAUUUGGGGAUUAAACGUGGUAUUUCGAAAGAGAGACCGGCCCCAAUUCAAAAGCCAAAUAUCAUCUUAUUCAAUUAGACUGAUAACAAUUUAUUUAUAUGAUAAUUCAUAAAAUAACUUUCAACAACGGAUCUCUUGGUUCUC